Molecule: ribosomal RNA, 301 nt
Filed under: uncultured bacterium
Lineage: Bacteria
Description: partial 16S ribosomal RNA
Rfam family: Bacterial small subunit ribosomal RNA
Source: RNAcentral
CAGUAGCCGCGGUAAUACGAGGGGGGCAAGCGUUGUUCGGAAUUAUUGGGCGUAAAGGGUGCGUAGGCGGUUCAGCAAGUCUCGUGUGAAAUCUUCGGGCUCAACCCGAAGUCUGCACGGGAAACUACUGGGCUUGAGUAAUGGAGAGGUGAGUGGAAUUUCCGGUGUAGCGGUGAAAUGCGUAGAUAUCGGAAGGAACACCUGUGGCGAAAGCGGCUCACUGGACAUUUACUGACGCUGAUGCACGAAAGCUAGGGGAGCAAACAGGAUUAGAUACCCCAGUAGUCCCUGUCUCUUAUAC